Molecule: long non-coding RNA, 203 nt
Filed under: Capsicum annuum
Lineage: Eukaryota; Viridiplantae; Streptophyta; Magnoliopsida; Solanales; Solanaceae
Description: long non-coding RNA (CANN_LNC004645)
Source: RNAcentral
GCAGCUUAGAAAAUUCCCCUUUGUUGAGACCAGGAAUGUCAUAAGGUUGAAGAAGUGUUGGGUCAGAAACAGUAUCAUCAUUCCCAGGAGUGUUAGCCUUUUGGCCAGAAUUAGCAAGCUCAACAUGAACAACUGUUCUUUUAGAUGGUGGCUUAGAGAACUUAAAAUUUGGAGGAAAGCCAUGAAGUUUAUAACAUUUGUCA